UUCUUUUUAAGAAUACAAAAUCGCGAUAAAGGUAGAAAAUUUAGAUGGUAUUAAUUUUGAUAUGGAUCACCGUUGAGAACUUUGCCUGAGGUAUUAAAUUCUAUUUUCCCUCUUUAGAAAUGUUUCAUGUAGCUCCUAAUUGUGAUGCUUCAUUUACAUAUUUUUAAAAUUUUAUCUUAUAAUAGGGAUAAAGUGUGUCCGAGUCAAUUUGAUGUUACAGACUUGCAGCUAACUGUUGUGCAUUAUAUAAUUGCAUAUUUUUUAGACACCAGAUAUGGCCAAGUUCCAUCUACAAUGUUAACAGAAUCUUUGAUAGGUAAAGGAGGCAGACAAAAAAGCUAAACAUCUUUUUUCUUCCGUAUAGCUCCCAGGCAAUUACACUGGGCAAUGCUUGAUAUAAGGGCUUCAAAUAUACAUUUGCAGGGUGUUUAUCGUAUGAGUA
This 442-nucleotide long non-coding RNA is filed under the name Solanum tuberosum (potato). RNAcentral's name for it is "long non-coding RNA (STUB_LNC011001)". Lineage: Eukaryota; Viridiplantae; Streptophyta; Magnoliopsida; Solanales; Solanaceae. The record is from RNAcentral.